UCGAGAGAGCAAAGAUUUAUCAGUUUGGGAGCGGCCUAUCUCCUAUCAGCUUGUUGGUGAGGUAAUGGCUCACCAAGGCGACGACGGGUAGCGGGACUGAGAGGUUGGCCCGCCACAUCGGGACUGAGACACUGCCCGGACCUCCACGGAGGGCUGCAGUAACGAAUAUUGGGCAAUGGGCGAAAGCCUGACCCAGCAAUGCCGCGUGCAGGAUGAAGCCCCUCGGGGUGUAAACUGCUGUCAGGGGUAAGAAAGCCUUCGGGUUGAUCAGCCCCAGAGGAAGUCACGGCUAACUUCGUGCCAGCAGCCGCGGUAAUACGAAGGUGGCGAGCGUUGUUCGGAAUCACUGGGCUUAAAGCGCGCGUAGGCGGAAAAGUAAGUGUCUUGUGAAAUCCCCCGGCUCAACCGGGGAAUUGCUGGGCAAACUGCUUUUCUUGAGGCAGGUAGGGGUGCAUGGAACUCUUGGUGGAGCGGUGGAAUGCGUAGAUAUCAAGAGGAACGCCAGAGGUGAAGACGGUGCACUGGGCCUGUCCUGACGCUGAGGUGCGAAAGCGUGGGGAGCGAACGGGAUUAGAUACCCCGGUAGUCCACGCCGUAAACGAUGCCUACUAGGUUGUGGGAGUUCUGACGCUUUCACGGCCGAAGCAAAAGUGUUUAGUAGGCCGCCUGGGGAGUACGGUCGCAAGGCUAAAACUCAAAGGAAUUGACGGGGGCUCACACAAGCGGUGGAGCAUGUGGAUUAAUUCGAAGCAACGCGCAGAACCUUACCUGGGUUUGACAUGUAUGGAUGCCUGCUGCGAAAACAGUUAGGCUGCCUUCGGGUGAAACUUACACAGGUGCUGCAUGGCUGUCGUCAGCUCGUGUCGUGAGUAUGUCAGGGUUAAGUCC
RNAcentral lists this ribosomal RNA (888 nucleotides) under uncultured organism. RNAcentral describes it as "bacterial SSU rRNA". It matches the Rfam family "Bacterial small subunit ribosomal RNA", at positions 193 to 1087 of the family's 1533-position model. The record is from RNAcentral.